Nanorana parkeri is the source of this 127-nucleotide long non-coding RNA. RefSeq lists it as uncharacterized. The transcript is spliced from 2 exons. Lineage: Eukaryota; Metazoa; Chordata; Amphibia; Anura; Dicroglossidae. The record is from RefSeq and is a predicted model, not a curated record.
UUCCAGGACACAAACAGUUCCAUCCACUACACGGCAUAUGUUGCAAUUUCACUUCUCGAAACCAAAUACAGCUUGGGGAAAACGCUGCUGGAAGGAGCUAUGGGGUGUCUGAAAAAUGCAUCAAAAA